GAAAGCGGCGAAAGGGAGAGUAACGCGUGGAUAUUUACCCCUGGAUCCGGGAUAGCUGUGGGAAACUACAGGUAAUACCGGAUAACGUCUCCGGACCAAAGGUGUGAUUCCGUCUGGGGAUGAGUCCGCGUCCUACUAGCUUGUUGGUGGGGUAAUGGCCUACCAAGGCAAUGAUGGGUACCGGGUGUGAGAGCAUGGCCCGGCUCACUGGGACUGAGACACUGCCCAGACACCUACGGGUGGCUGCAGUCGAGAAUCUUCCGCAAUGGGCGCAAGCCUGACGGAGCGACGCCGCGUGCGGGAUGAAGGCCUUCGGGUUGUAAACCGCUGUCAGUUGGGAGGAAAUGCAUAAGGGUUCUCUCUUAUGUUUGACCGAUCUUCAGAGGAAGUCCGGGCUAAGUUCGUGCCAGCAGCCGCGGUAAGACGAACCGGACGAACGUUAUUCGGAAUUACUGGGCUUAAAGAGUGCGUAGGCGGCUUUGUAGGUGAGGUGUGAAAAUCCCACGGCUCAACCGUGGAACUGCGCUUCAAACCACUUGGCUUGAGAGAGACAGAGGUAAGCGAACUGAUGGUGGACGGUGAAAUGCGUUG
RNAcentral lists this ribosomal RNA (591 nucleotides) under uncultured bacterium. RNAcentral describes it as "bacterial SSU rRNA". It matches the Rfam family "Bacterial small subunit ribosomal RNA", at positions 91 to 693 of the family's 1533-position model. The record is from RNAcentral.